UAAGGAAUAUUGGUCAAUGGGCGCAAGCCUGAACCAGCCAUGCCGCGUGCAGGAAGACGGCCCUAUGGGUUGUAAACUGCUUUUAUCAGGGAAUAAACCCCCGCUCGUGAGCGGGGCUGAAGGUACCUGAAGAAUAAGCAUCGGCUAACUCCGUGCCAGCAGCCGCGGUAAUACGGAGGAUGCAAGCGUUAUCCGGAUUCAUUGGGUCUAAAGGGUGCGCAGGCGGAUUGGUAAGUCAGGGGUGAAAUCCCACAGCUCAACUGUGGAACUGCCUUUGAUGCUGUCAGUCUAGAGUAUAGUUGAAGUGGCGGAAUGUGUCAUGUAGCGGUGAAAUGCUUAGAUAUGACACAGAACACCGAUCGCGAAGGCAGCUCGCUAAGCUAUAACUGACGCUCAUGCACGAAAGCGUGGGGAUCAAACAG
RNAcentral lists this ribosomal RNA (422 nucleotides) under uncultured bacterium. RNAcentral describes it as "bacterial SSU rRNA". It matches the Rfam family "Bacterial small subunit ribosomal RNA", at positions 355 to 775 of the family's 1533-position model. The record is from RNAcentral.